GAUGAACGCUGGCGGCAGGCUUAACACAUGCAAGUCGAGCGGGGAAGGGUAGCUUGCUACCUAACCUAGCGGCGGACGGGUGAGUAAUGCUUAGGAAUCUGCCUAUUAGUGGGGGACAACAUUCCGAAAGGAAUGCUAAUACCGCAUACGCCCUACGGGGGAAAGCAGGGGAUCUUCGGACCUUGCGCUAAUAGAUGAGCCUAUGUCAGAUUAGCUAGUUGGUGGGGUAAACGCCUACCAAGGCGACGAUCUGUAGCGGGUCUGAGAGGAUGAUCCGCCACACUGGGACUGAGACACGGCCCAGACUCCUACGGGAGGCAGAAGUGGGGAAUAUUAGACAAUGUGCGUAAGCCUGAUCCUGCCAUGCCGCGUGGUUGAAGAAGGCCUUUUGGUUGUAAAGCACUUUAAGCGAGGAGGAGGCUACCGAGAUUAAUCCCUUGCUGUUUUGACGCUACCGACAGAAUAAGCACCCGCUAACUCUGUGCCAGCCGCCCCGGUAA
This 500-nucleotide ribosomal RNA is filed under the name uncultured bacterium. RNAcentral describes it as "partial 16S ribosomal RNA". It matches the Rfam family "Bacterial small subunit ribosomal RNA", at positions 28 to 523 of the family's 1533-position model. The record is from RNAcentral.